Molecule: long non-coding RNA, 323 nt
Organism: Sander lucioperca (pikeperch)
Lineage: Eukaryota; Metazoa; Chordata; Actinopteri; Perciformes; Percidae
Exons: 4
Source: RefSeq, a predicted model, not a curated record
UCUGAACAUUCUUCAGAUUUGCAUCGUGUCAGAGUUCUGCUCUUCUUGUUCUUCUUCAUCUUCAGACUUUGUGAAGUUCAGAUUUUACAUUUCUACAUUUUUGGACCUUCGUACCUGAAACUUUCCCCACCAACUCUUCGGUAUCCCUCCUGCUGCUGACUCUAGAACUCAUCUCUCUCCUGUCAUUCAGGUAUCUCUCCUGCUGCUGACUCUAGAACUCAUCUCUCUCCUGUCAUUCAGAUCAACAUGAAGAUCUCUAUCUUUGCUGGUGUUCUGCUGAUCUCUGCUGCCGUGCUCUCUAUGGAAAGAGAUGAUCCAGGUGA